AUUGAACGCUGGCGGCAUGCUUUACACAUGCAAGUCGAACGGCAGCGCGGGCUUCGGCCUGGCGGCGAGUGGCGAACGGGUGAGUAAUGCAUCGGAACGUGCCCAGUAGUGGGGGAUAGCCCGGCGAAAGCCGGAUUAAUACCGCAUACGACCUGAGGGUGAAAGCGGGGGACCGAAAGGCCUCGCGCUAUUGGAGCGGCCGAUGUCGGAUUAGCCAGUUGGUUGGGUAAAGGCUUACCAAGGCGACGAUCCGUAGCUGGUCUGAGAGGAGGACCAGCCACACUGGGACUGGAACACGGCCCAGACUCCUCCGGGAGGCAGCAGUGGGGAAUUUUGGACAAUGGGGGCAACCCUGCUCCAGCCCUGCCGCGUGCGGGAAGAAGGCCUUCGGGUUGUAAACCGCUUUUGUUCGGGAAGAAAUCCUCUGGGCUAAUACCCCGGGGGGAUGACGGUACCGGAAGAAUAAGCACCGGCUAACUACGUG
Molecule: ribosomal RNA, 484 nt
Filed under: uncultured bacterium
Lineage: Bacteria
Description: partial 16S ribosomal RNA
Rfam family: Bacterial small subunit ribosomal RNA
Source: RNAcentral